Loxodonta africana (African savanna elephant) is the source of this 106-nucleotide small nuclear RNA. NCBI's taxonomy places the organism in Eukaryota, Metazoa, Chordata, Mammalia, Proboscidea, Elephantidae. The record is from Ensembl.
GUGCUGGUUUUGCAGUAUAUAUACUAAAAUUGGAACAAUAAAGAGAAAAUUAGCAUGGCCCCUUUGCAAGGAUUACCUGCAAAUUCAUGAAGCAUUCCAUAUUUUU